This is a long non-coding RNA of Homo sapiens (human), 1648 nucleotides long. Ensembl annotates it as actin epsilon 1, pseudogene. Its record names the gene ACTE1P. Lineage: Eukaryota; Metazoa; Chordata; Mammalia; Primates; Hominidae. The record is from Ensembl.
AGAAGAGGCCACCUGACACCCAGCAUCCCUGCUCAGGAAGGCAGGCAGUUUUGUAAUGCCCUUUAGAGAUCUUGGUGCAUUUAAAAACAUCCUGCUCUACUUAGUUUUUGUUAACCGGAUUAUUCAGUUAUAGGGAAUGAUUCAUUCUCUAAUGAAAAGAGCAGAAGGGUUGUGGGUGGGUUGCAUUAUAGGAAGUGAGAACAUCCCCGAGCAAGACCAACAAUUGCUGAAUAAACACAAACCCCCUUGAGAAUCACGCCGACAGGUGCUAUCUCUUCACCUGGGGAUUGCAAAGGAAGUGAGAACAUCCCCGAGCAAGACCAAAAAUUGCUGAAUAAACACAAACCCCCUUGAGAAUCACGCCAAGAGGUGCUGCCUCUUCACCUGGGGAUUGCAAAGCCUCACCGCCAUGGACAGCGUGCCCCUCAUCUGUGACUACGGCUCUGGCUUCAGCAAGGUGGGAUUUGCAGGAAUGGAAAGCCCAAUGGGCAUGUUCCCCACUGUCCUCGGGAAACUUCGGCACGAUAAUGUAUUGGUGGGGAUGGAAGAGGAAGACUGGUUCAUUGGAGAGGAGGUUCAGAAAAAAUGAGGGAAACUCAACCUGCAAUACCCCAUUUCUCGGGCAAUAACAACCAACUGGGACAACAUGGAGAAGAUUUGGCACCACUCCUUCUACCAGGUGCUCCACGUCGCCCCAGAGCAGUACCCCAUGUUGGUGACGGAGCCGUCUUUGAACCCAACACCCAGCAAAGAGAAAGUCACACAGGUGCUGUUUGAGAUUUUCAACAUACCUGCCCUGUAUUUAGCUAACCGAGGAGUCCUUUCUCUGUACGCCUCUGGCCAGACCUUCGGCAUGACUGUUGAAUCUGGAGAAGGAAUGACACACUUCGUGCCCAUCGCUGAUGGCUGUCCUUUGCAUCAGUCAACCUUCCAGGUGGACAUAGCGGGCCAGGACCUAACCUCGUACCUCCUGCAACUGUUGAAAGACAAUGUGCAAUUAUUGGUGGGCACAGGGGAUCGAGAGUACAUCCGGGACAUGAAGGAGAAAUGCUGCUAUGUGGCUUUGGACUUUGACAAGGAAAAGAUGAAAACUGAUUCACCUUCAUGCCAACAGAAAUAUCAGCUGCCUGAUGGCCAAGAGAUCACCGUUGGGCAGGAGAGCUUCUUCUGCCCCGAGGGAAAAACACCCCUGGCAUCCACACGAAGGCCAUCCAGAGCAUCACUUCCUGCAACCCCGACCUCCAGAAGGUUCUCUUUGGCCACAUGCUACUGUCCGGAGGGACGGGCUCCUGCCCCGGCUUGCGAUUCCGGAUGCAGAGAGAAAUAUCUGAGCUGGUGUCCCCUACAGUUUAUGUGAAGGUGGCCACCUGUCCGUAUUCUGUCUAUGGAGCUUGGGUAGGUGGCUCCAUCUUGUGCUCACUCUCCACGUUCAAGGAUAUGUGGGUCACCAGCAAGGAGUACAAGGAGAUGGGCUCUUCCAUCAUCAGUAGAAAAAGCUUCUGAUGUGUGGCUUUCAGGACCAUGUUGCCUGUGCCUUCGACACCAACUGCAGGAUGAGCCUUGUUGUGGCUGAAUUGAACAGAGCUCAGAACCAGCUCAAGGGCAAAGGCACUUCCUCCCCCAGACUUCAAUAAAGAAGGUCAAUAAA